Molecule: ribosomal RNA, 492 nt
Filed under: uncultured bacterium
Lineage: Bacteria
Description: partial 16S ribosomal RNA
Rfam family: Bacterial small subunit ribosomal RNA
Source: RNAcentral
AGUGAACGCUGGCGGUAUGCCUAACACAUGCAAGUCGAACGGCAGCACCGUACUAGCUUGCUAUUACGGGUGGCGAGUGGCGGACGGGUGAGGAAUACAUCGGAAUCUACUUUUUCGUGGGGGAUAACGUCGGGAAACUUACGCUAAUACCGCAUACGACCUACGGGUGAAAGCAGGGGAUCUUCGGACCUUGCGCGAUUUAAUGAGCCGAUGUCUGAUUAGCUAGUUGGCGGGGUAACGGCCCACCAAGGCGACGAUCCGUAGCUGGUCUGAGGGGAUGAAGCGCGACACAGAGAGUGAGACACGGCCUAGAGUCCGAGGUGAGGCAGCAGUGGGGAAUAUUGGAAAAUGGGCGGAAGACUGAACCAUGCAUACAGCGUUGGUGAAGAAGGCCUUCGGGGUGUAAAGCCCUUUUGUGGGGAAAGAAAAGCAGCAGGUUAAUACCCGGCUGUUCUGACGGUACCCAAAUAAUAAGCACCGGCUAACUUCGUG